AAACUUGAGCUAAUACCGGAUACGCCCUUAGGGGGAAAGAUUUAUUGCCGAAGGAUUGGCCCGCGUCCGAUUAGCUAGUUGGUGAGGUAAUGGCUCACCAAGGCGACYGAUCGGUAGCUGGUCUGAGAGGAUGAUCAUGCCACACUGGGACUGAGACACUGGCCCAGACUCCUACGGGAGGCAGCAGUGGGGAAUAUUGGACAAUGGGCGCAAGCCUGAUCCAGCCAUGCCGCGUGAGUGAUGAAGGCCCUAGGGUUGUAAAGCUCUUUCGCCAGGGACGAUAAUGACGGUACCUGGAUAAGAAGCCCCGGCUAACUUC
RNAcentral lists this ribosomal RNA (319 nucleotides) under uncultured Pseudomonadota bacterium. Its description in RNAcentral is "bacterial SSU rRNA". It matches the Rfam family "Bacterial small subunit ribosomal RNA", at positions 154 to 504 of the family's 1533-position model. The record is from RNAcentral. Lineage: Bacteria; Pseudomonadati; Pseudomonadota.